This is a long non-coding RNA of Mirounga angustirostris (Northern elephant seal), 1028 nucleotides long. RefSeq lists it as uncharacterized. NCBI's taxonomy places the organism in Eukaryota, Metazoa, Chordata, Mammalia, Carnivora, Phocidae. The record is from RefSeq and is a predicted model, not a curated record. The transcript has 3 exons.
CUGCAGCCGCUUUCAGUAAAAGCACUAAUCUCAUUCAUGAGCGCUCAUUCAUGGCCCUUAAAACCUAAGCACAUCCCAAAGGCCCCAUCUCCUAAUAUCAUCAACUUGGGGAUUAGGCUUCACUAUAUGAAUUUCGGGAGGACACAUUCGGUCUAUAUUAACCACGGUGGUAUACUUGGCUCACCAACGGUCAUAUGAUAUCAUCCACACAUAUGUUUUUGUCUUCCAUUCACAUUUUGAUGACUGUCCGAUCUAAUGUGUAAGCAUUGACUCCCCAGAGUUCUAGCUUUGUUGAACGCUUGGAUGUCCUCCAGGGAACCAAAGCUCACCAUAUCUGCACUUUUAAUCUGAACGUGAAUUUUGGUCCUGUUGGAAGAAGUGAAUGGAUCUAUGAGAGACAGGAUAAGGCACGGCAGCGUCUUACCAGACUCAUCAUUACUGUGCUGGGAUCUUUAAACUUUGCUCCAAGGACUAAAUAAAUUUUCUUUACACUGGGAGCAUUUUAUUCCUUCUCAGCUGCAUAGAAGGAAAAAAGAAAAAAGAAAAAUAUUUUGACUUUCUUUUGUCCAUUCCUGAGAACAAACUGCAAAACAGAGACUCGAGUAAUACCUGGAAUCUUGAUGUUCUACUUUUCACCCUUCAUGGUAUUCCUACAGGCCCCCAAUAGCAGGAGCAAAAUAGGCAUGAGGUUUUUAUUUCUUCUGUGCUAACCAUCCACAAAGGAUGGGUAUCUGUGUGUAUCUGUUUAUGGAGAAUCAUCAGUGUUUCUUUUCUUUGUCCAAUGUAAGUAAAAUGGGUGACUAUCAGAAUUGUGGAUGCGUGGUACGACUCAACACUUGUAGCAAGCUUACUGUGUAAAUGUCUACAAACUUUUGGACUAUUAGUUUUCUAGUUAUGGGAGCCCAUGGCUUGAUUUUAUCAUGUAAACAAGUUUGUUGGGGUUGUCUUUAAUUGGUUUAUGUAAAUGGUGCUUUGGAAUAUUCCCUUAAAACAAUUGAUACACUACAAAUUGUGACUCCUUUACAUUC